This 442-nucleotide ribosomal RNA is filed under the name uncultured bacterium. RNAcentral describes it as "partial 16S ribosomal RNA". It matches the Rfam family "Bacterial small subunit ribosomal RNA", at positions 338 to 795 of the family's 1533-position model. The record is from RNAcentral.
CCUACGGGCGGCAGCAGUGGGGAAUAUUGGGCAAUGUGCGAAAGCCUGACCCAGCAACGCCGCGUGAAGGAAGAAGGCUUUCGGGUUGUAAACUUCUUUUGACAGGGAAGAGCAGAAGACGGUACCUGUCGAAUAAGCAACGGCCAAAUACGUGCCAGCAGCCGCGGUAAUACGGAGGUGGCCAGCGGUGUCUGGAUUUAAUGGGUGUAAAGGGCGUGUAGCCGGGAUGACAAGUCAGAUGUGAAAACCGGGGGCUCAACCCCCGAACUGCAGUUGAAACUGGUGGUCUUGAGUAUCGGAGAGGCAGGCGGAAUUCCUAGUGUAGCGGUGAAAUGCGUAGAUAUUAGGAGGAACACCGGUGGCGAAGGCGGCUUACUGGACUGUAACUGACGUUGAGGCUCGAAAGCGUGGGGAGCAAACAGGAUUAGAUACCCGGGUAGUC